RNAcentral lists this long non-coding RNA (236 nucleotides) under Lathyrus oleraceus (garden pea). RNAcentral describes it as "Pisum sativum (pea) long non-coding RNA (PSAT_LNC020244)". The record is from RNAcentral. Lineage: Eukaryota; Viridiplantae; Streptophyta; Magnoliopsida; Fabales; Fabaceae.
GGACCAAUAAGUGCCUGAUACAGGGAACAAACAUUAGACACUGCGGUGACACCUGCAAAACAGACAAGGGUUAAUAUGCAUGGUAUGGGAUGCACUGCUUGUUCAGUUUUAAGGCACCCCCGUUUUGGAAGGGAAUACCCUGCAAAUGAAUAAGCAUGAGAUGUUGGAUGCAAAUAUGCAAAUGAUGUUAUGCAAUGCAAAGGCAUGUCAAUCAGAAUUGAUGGAUCCGCUUGAAC